GGGCGCAUGGUCUAGUGGUAUGAUUUUCCCUUAGCACCUUUCAACCGAAAGAUUUCGAUUGAGGAGCAUGGGAGAGGUCCGGGGUUCAAUUCCCCGUGUGUCCA
Molecule: non-coding RNA, 104 nt
Organism: Cladobotryum mycophilum
Lineage: Eukaryota; Fungi; Ascomycota; Sordariomycetes; Hypocreales; Hypocreaceae
Source: the annotation of a GenBank genome assembly